GUGGGAAAGCAUGUGCUCUGUUGCAUGGCAACUAUAGAAUAACAGUUCAGAGAGGAAACCCGAAAAUUAUCAGAUCUAUGGGGCAGAAGAACUCUACAGGGAUUUGCAACUUGAAGACAGGAACAGGCCAACUGUGCAAAUUCCCUUUCUCUGAUAUAUGAAGACAUCUGCUGUAAGCAUAAACUUGAGAUGACAUAUAGAUGAAAGGGAGCAAGAUAUCUGUGUGAGUCUCCAGCGCUGGCUGUUUCCUUCUAAUCGAUAUUGUCCAAGGGAAAAUGUAGGUGAAAUGAUACAAUCCUUAUUGAACUGAGCAGCUUAUCCAAGAG
Molecule: long non-coding RNA, 326 nt
Organism: Hyla sarda
Lineage: Eukaryota; Metazoa; Chordata; Amphibia; Anura; Hylidae
Exons: 3
Source: RefSeq, a predicted model, not a curated record